RNAcentral lists this long non-coding RNA (1234 nucleotides) under Heterocephalus glaber (naked mole-rat). RNAcentral's name for it is "lncRNA (ENSHGLG00000036064.1)". The record is from RNAcentral. Lineage: Eukaryota; Metazoa; Chordata; Mammalia; Rodentia; Bathyergidae.
CAAGCACCCAGCUACAUUGAAAAGCUGGGCAGAGCCAGACAUGGGGAUGCAUACUUAUAAUCCCAGCUACUGGAAAGGCAGAAGCAGGUGGAUCUCGAGUCCAAACCCAGCCUUGCCAACUUAGGGAGAAUGUCUCAAUAAAAAAUAACAACGGCUGAGGAUGUAGCUUAGUGGUAGUGGUAAGUGACCCUGGAUUCAAUCCCCAGUACCACACACACACACGUGCAGUUAGAUGAACCAUCCUGGGAGGCCACAGGCUUCCCCAGGGCAUUGGCAGUGGACUCCCAUUGCACCCAACCUUUCAGGACCACCUCUGGCUCGAUUCAGUGAGAUGCACCUGCCCCCAGGUGACUCACGAGCACACCAGGCUCGCCACGAGAGGGGAAGCUGCCAUUCCCAAUGCAGCAGGUUGCCAGUACAUUUAUGACUUGGGAUCACGAAUCCUUAAAUCACCUGCAUGCCCUUGUAAGCAUGAUCAUAGAUCAGCUUGGAAGAGGCCUUGCUGCAGGUGUCUUGGCAAACCCUGGUCAAAGCUAGGAACCACGAGACCAAGGAACUCUAGCAGCUGCACUGGUCCCCAGGAAGCAACGAGAUGCUCUGGACAAGGAAGAUGUGAGUGCAAAUCGAUGAUAAUCUAAGCCUUGGUGGGGAUUUACUGAACCGUAGGUUGCUGCUGCCAGUACAGUAGCUUUGUACCUCUGGGUAGGGACUGCAAGGGACCCUCGGGACCUGCCAUGAGCAAUUCCAGACUCGUGUCCGAGGUCAUCCAGGGAGACCCAGACGUCUGCUAGAUGCAGGAUGUCUUCAGCUGAUGUGAUCUUGCCCUUGAGGAUCACAGCAUCACGGGAUCAUGAAGGCCUCAGCAGCCCUAAUCAAAAUUUAAUUGUGAAAUGAUUUUUCCCCAGAACUAUGCAGAAUGGCUCCCGACAGGUGCCCAUAGGGACCCCUUUCUCACGAUGCCCUUUCUUUCUCUGGGACCUGUGUUUCCAGCAGGGCAGCUGAGCUCACAUAUCUGCAGAGCUGGUGGAAGAGUUUCCAUAGCUCUGUUUCUGCCAAACGUGGUGGAAGUUUAUGCUUUCCCACUCCCACCAACCAACAUCCUCCCGGGGCCCAGCACGCCAGGCUGGGUGAGGAACCUGCCUGAUCUCACCAAGUCAGGAAUAGUCGUCCAGAUCUGUGAUCCCAGCUCUUUGGGAGGCUGAGGCCGGAGGAUUGAAAGUCCAAGGGUGGCUUG